Molecule: small nucleolar RNA, 209 nt
Organism: Tripterygium wilfordii
Lineage: Eukaryota; Viridiplantae; Streptophyta; Magnoliopsida; Celastrales; Celastraceae
Product: small nucleolar RNA U3
Exons: 1
Source: RefSeq, a predicted model, not a curated record
ACGACCUUACUUGAAUAGGAUCUGUUCUAUAGGAUCGUACAUCUGUGUCCUUGUGUUAUAAGGAGACAGGAACUAAAGUCUGGUGGAUGAAAUCUGACCGUGUGAUCAGAGCGUGAUUAACAGCGUUACGGUCUAUGGCCGUUGAUGCAGUAGAUGAUCGUUCUCAGCCAUCUGAUGGCUGGGAUGGUCACACGGUUGUCUGACAGACU